RNAcentral lists this long non-coding RNA (645 nucleotides) under Heterocephalus glaber (naked mole-rat). Its description in RNAcentral is "lncRNA (ENSHGLG00000045225.1)". The record is from RNAcentral. Lineage: Eukaryota; Metazoa; Chordata; Mammalia; Rodentia; Bathyergidae.
CAUCGUUAGCCUUGCGGAUUCCACACUCCUCCUCCAACGCCGUUAGUCAGCCUCCAACACUGGUUCCAACAAGACUCACAUAAAGGCAAAAAUGUUCCUCCUGAUGUGAGGAUGAAGAUUUCCAAUAAGACAGAGUCACUUAAUCCCACCACAAGACACAAGAAACCAAGCAUCUGAAGAGAACCUGCCUCACUAGAGCUGCCCAACUGUCCACAGCUGUCCUGUCCCUCAUGCAGCUCUUCCUCUUUCACCUCAAGGUCAGCUGGGAGGGAGAAAGCGAAGCCAGCUGUGCAAGGGCCAGGAUGGGGGAAGCAGUGCAGAGGAUGGGAUUGAGACCCACAAGGCAUUGGACACCAUAGAUGUCUCAACAGAGUGUGAAGCCAAGGGAAGAACAGCACUGUUGCUGUGUGCUGGUGCUGCUGCCAACAGCACCCAGACCUUCACAGCCAACCCUCCACAGCACACCUCAGACUCUGAACUAACCUGAAUUUGACACUUUCACGGGACAGUUUCCAAGGAAUCCCCCACCUCAAGAGAAGAUGUGGACCUCAACUCAGCCUCGGCAGACAGACACUUCCUACAAGACUAACAUGCCUAUAUGAGAGAUGAAAAUCAAUCUGACCCAAAGUUUAAGGUAAUAAAGGC